Long non-coding RNA from Glycine soja, 682 nucleotides. RefSeq lists it as uncharacterized. The record is from RefSeq and is a predicted model, not a curated record. NCBI's taxonomy places the organism in Eukaryota, Viridiplantae, Streptophyta, Magnoliopsida, Fabales, Fabaceae. The transcript is spliced from 3 exons.
ACUUGUCUCUCCCUUUUUCACUUUUGCCCUUCAAUUUUCUGUUUCCCUUCUUCGUUUGUGCACCCCAUAUACCACACCUUUGUUUCUGUUGCAUCCUGCAUGUCUUGCCACCACUGCAUCAGAAGAUCUUAUAUUCACAUGUAUGAGAUUCUUUUGAAGUUAUAGUGUGGAAUAUACUCCGCCCAUAAUAUAUAUGAGGGUUGGAUGCAUAUAUGCAUGCAGGUUGAAUGUGCUCGUGACCGUAUGUGUCUAGUAGUGACUUAGAGAGGCAUCUAAUAUUGUUGACAUGGGACCAAACUUUAUUGAUUAUUUCACCUUAAUUUGGUGUUUGUGUCCUUAUACAAUUGCAUUCUUUCUUCACCUUUUGUACGAUGGAGCAAGCAACGGUUGAGAAGAGUAAACUAACUUGUCGUGCCCACCUGGCUUGCAUAAAAUAUUGGUCAUGCAUGAGACAAGAGUUUUAAAGUUAAUUGUUUAGAAUUCUAGGAUAAGAUACUCCAACUCACUGUCUAGUCGUACAUCUCACCUAUUCAAGUUGGUUAUUAUUGCUUGGAUUCCUUCACUUUCUUGCUUACUAGGAUAAUUAACUUUGAGCUUUUCACUGCUCAUAAAUAUCAAUUGUCUAUGGAAGGGCUCCUAAAAACAACUAUGUCUAUAUAUCGAAGGAGUUUUAAUUCGACGA